GUCAGAGCGCUCAUCGGGUUGAGGGCCUAGUCCCCUUCACAGGGGGUGGGGGUUCAAAUCCCCCCUCCGACA
RNAcentral lists this transfer RNA (72 nucleotides) under Actinomycetota bacterium. RNAcentral describes it as "Actinobacteria bacterium tRNA-OTHER". The record is from RNAcentral. Lineage: Bacteria; Bacillati; Actinomycetota.